This 843-nucleotide long non-coding RNA is filed under the name Gallus gallus (chicken). RNAcentral's name for it is "lncRNA (ENSGALG00010019560.1)". The record is from RNAcentral. Lineage: Eukaryota; Metazoa; Chordata; Aves; Galliformes; Phasianidae.
CUCCUCCCGGCAUUGUCCCGCGGCCGCCGUCGGGCUCUUAAGCCCGGCCGCCCUGGGGCACGGCCGCAGCAGCUCUUCCGCGGCCCUCGCCCGAGCUGCUGGUGCCUUCAUCAGCCAUGUGCCCAGAGCUGGGAUGGAUCCUGCCCUGGAGGCUGGGGUUCCUGGUGGAGCGUGGUCCCAGAUCACUGUGACACACCAGAUUGGUCAACUCCUGUGCCUGAGCAAUGUCAUGUGAGUGGUGGGGACGGAUAUGGAUUCCCUCUUACAUCUCAGUUGUGAUCACUCAGAUGCCCGAGUGCUGUAAAGCUGGACACUGGAACCCUUCAUCCUCAUGUUUGCAUGGUCUUGAGAGGGGCGUGGAUAAAAGCACGCAUCCUCUUCAGAACCUACAGUGAUUUUGUCCAAUGAUGUUGGAGCAACAUUGGCACAACCCACCACAUGGUGCUGGCUGGAAGGAGCCGUGCAGGAGCACUGUGAAGAGACUUUCCAGGAAUGUUUCUGCAUGGAAAGCCAACACGUCUGCCUUGCAGGACUGAGGGAAGGAGGAGGGAUGGUGACUUGAUCGGUGAAGUCAGUGUGAGACUUCCCAUUGAUUCCAGCGGGUGCUGACCUCUAUGGGCUGAGACAGCAGCCUCAGCAUUGAGCUUGAACCUCACACAAUGGGACCCUUAUCCACAGUGAGGCCACAAAAUGCUGUUGCAUCCUAAAUAAAUUCACAUGAAACCAUCACACGGCAGUUUUCUUUGUGUGGGAACUUAAGGAGCUGGGAGAAGAAGGAUGGGGCAUGGGGAAGAUGCUCACAUAGCGUGUUUAAGAAGGACAGAUAAGGUGGAUAGAAGCAGA